RNAcentral lists this ribosomal RNA (244 nucleotides) under uncultured bacterium. Its description in RNAcentral is "partial small subunit ribosomal RNA". It matches the Rfam family "Bacterial small subunit ribosomal RNA", at positions 26 to 285 of the family's 1533-position model. The record is from RNAcentral.
AGAAUCAACGCUGGCGGCGUGCCUAACACAUGCAAGUCGCACGAGAAAGGGACUUCGGUCCCAAGUAAAGUGGCGCACGGGUGAGUAACACGUGAAUCAUCUACCUCCGAGUGGGGAAUAACCUAGAGAAAUCUGGGCUAAUACCGCAUAACACUUACGAGUCAAAGCAGCAAUGCGCUUGGAGAGGAGUUCGCGGCCGAUUAGCUAGUUGGCGGGUAAUGGCCCACCAAGGCGAUGAUCGGUA